RNAcentral lists this ribosomal RNA (491 nucleotides) under uncultured organism. RNAcentral describes it as "SSU rRNA". It matches the Rfam family "Bacterial small subunit ribosomal RNA", at positions 1 to 509 of the family's 1533-position model. The record is from RNAcentral.
AGCUAAGUAGUUGAUCCUGGCUCGAGGACGAACGCUGGCGGCGUGCUUAACACAUGCAAGUCGAACGGACGGACACCCUUCGGGGGUGCGAGUUAGUGGCGGACGGGUGAGUAACGCGUGAGUAACCUGCCUUGGAGUGGGGAAUAACACAGGGAAACUUGUGCUAAUACCGCAUAACAUCGUGAGAUGGCAUCUUCUUACGAUCAAAGAUUUAUUGCUCCAAGAUGGGCUCGCGUCCGAUUAGAUAGUUGGCGGGGUAAUAGCCCACCAAGUCGACGAUCGGUAGCCGGACUGAGAGGUUGGCCGGCCACAUUGGGACUGAGACACGGCCCAGACUCCUACGGGAGGCAGCAGUGGGGAAUAUUAGGCAAUGGGGGAAACCCUGACCUAGCGACGCCGCGUGAAGGAUGAAGGUUUUCGGAUUGUAAACUUCUUUGGCAGGGGACGAUAAUGACGGUACCCUGAGAACAAGCCACGGCUAACUACGUGCC